RNAcentral lists this ribosomal RNA (484 nucleotides) under uncultured bacterium. Its description in RNAcentral is "partial 16S ribosomal RNA". It matches the Rfam family "Bacterial small subunit ribosomal RNA", at positions 30 to 507 of the family's 1533-position model. The record is from RNAcentral.
AUUGAACGCUGGCGGCAGGCCUAACACAUGCAAGUCGAGCGGAUGAACGGAUCUUGCUCUUCUCUUCAGCGGCGGACGGGUGUGUCAUGCCUAUGACCUUCCCUUGACUUUGGGAUUAAUUUCCGUAACUGGGCCUUAUUCCCGCAUAGGCUCUUUGGUUGAAAGUGGGGGUUCUUCGGCUUUCGCGUUUUUUGAUGACCCUAGUUCGUAUUAGCUAGUUGGUGGGGUAAAGGCUUACCAAGGCGACGACCCGUAACUGGUCUGAGAGGAUGACCAGACACACUGGAACUGAGACACGGUCAAGACUCCUACGGGAGGCAGCAGUGGGGAAUAUUGGACAAUGGGCGAAAGACUGAACCAGCAAUGCAGCGUGUGUGAAGAAGGUCUUCGGAUUGUAAAGCACUUUUAGUAGGGAAGAAGGGCAGUAAGUGAAUACAUGGCUGUUGUGACGGUACCAACAGAAUAAGCACCGGCUAACUACGUG